This 439-nucleotide ribosomal RNA is filed under the name uncultured bacterium. Its description in RNAcentral is "partial 16S ribosomal RNA". It matches the Rfam family "Bacterial small subunit ribosomal RNA", at positions 338 to 795 of the family's 1533-position model. The record is from RNAcentral.
CCUACGGGGGGCAGCAGUGGGGGAUAUUGCACAAUGGAGGAAACUCUGAUGCAGCGACGCCGCGUGAGGGAAGACGGUCUUCGGAUUGUAAACCUCUGUCUUUGGGGAAGAAAAUGACGGUACCCAAAGAGGAAGCUCCGGCUAACUACGUGCCAGCAGCCGCGGUAAUACGUAGGGAGCGAGCGUUGUCCGGAAUUACUGGGUGUAACGGGAGCGUAGGCGGGCGAGAAAGUUGAAUGUUAAACCUACCGGCUCAACUGGUAGUCGCACUCAAAACUGCAGCUCUUGAGUGAAGUAGAGGCAGGCGGAAUUCCUAGUGUAGCGGUGAAAUGCGUAGAUAUUAGGAGGAACACCAGUGGCGAAGGCGGCCUGCUGGGCUUUUACUGACGCUGAGGCUCGAAAGUGUGGGGAGCAAACAGGAUUAGAUACCCGAGUAGUC